This 644-nucleotide ribosomal RNA is filed under the name uncultured bacterium. RNAcentral's name for it is "bacterial SSU rRNA". It matches the Rfam family "Bacterial small subunit ribosomal RNA", at positions 9 to 648 of the family's 1533-position model. The record is from RNAcentral.
GAGUUUGAUCCUGGCUCAGGAUGAACGCUGGCGGCGUGCUUAACACAUGCAAGUCGAGCGAAGCGAUUUAAAUGAAGUUUUCGGAUGGAAUUUAAAUUGACUGAGCGGCGGACGGGUGAGUAACGCGUGGGUAACCUGCCUCAUACAGGGGGAUAACAGUUGGAAACGACUGCUAAUACCGCAUAAGCACACAGUGCCGCAUGGUACGGUGUGAAAAAACUCCGGUGGUAUGAGAUGGACCCGCGUCUGAUUAGGUAGUUGGUGAGGUAACGGCCCACCAAGCCGACGAUCAGUAGCCGACCUGAGAGGGUGACCGGCCACAUUGGGACUGAGACACGGCCCAAACUCCUACGGGAGGCAGCAGUGGGGAAUAUUGGGCAAUGGGCGAAAGCCUGACCCAGCAACGCCGCGUGAAGGAAGAAGGCUUUCGGGUUGUAAACUUCUUUUAUGUGGGACGAAAAAAAUGACGGUACCGCAUGAAUAAGCCACGGCUAACUACGUGCCAGCAGCCGCGGUAAUACGUAGGUGGCCAAGCGUUGUCCGGAUUUACUGGGUGUAAAGGGCGCGUAGGCGGGAAUGCAAGUCAGGUGUGAAAUCCCUCGGCUCAACCGAGGAACUGCAUUUGAUACUGUACAACUUGAGGG